AUCCUGGAGCUGGAGUAGGUUCCAAGGGUUGGGCUGUUCGCCCAUUAAAGAGGCACGCGAGCUGGGUUCAGAACGUCGUGAGACAGUUCGGUCCCUAUCCACCGUGGGCGUGAGAAAUUUGAGAGGAUCUGUCCUUAGUACGAGAGGACCGGGAUGGACAGACCGCUGGUGUACGAGUUGUACUGCCAAGUGCACAGCUCGGUAGCUACGUCUGGGAAGGAUAAGUGCUGAAGGCAUCUAAGCACGAAACCAACCUCGAGAUAAGAUUUCUAUGAGAUUACUUGAAGAAAACAAGAUAGAUAGGUCAGAGGUGUAAAGAUAGUAAUAUCAAAGCUAACUGAUACUAAUAAAUCGAAAACUUGACU
RNAcentral lists this ribosomal RNA (365 nucleotides) under Finegoldia magna ALB8. RNAcentral describes it as "bacterial LSU rRNA". It matches the Rfam family "Bacterial large subunit ribosomal RNA", at positions 2544 to 2925 of the family's 2925-position model. The record is from RNAcentral. Lineage: Bacteria; Bacillati; Bacillota; Tissierellia; Tissierellales; Peptoniphilaceae.